RNAcentral lists this transfer RNA (76 nucleotides) under Bacillus velezensis. RNAcentral's name for it is "tRNA-Met". It matches the Rfam family "tRNA". Rfam says of the family: Transfer RNA (tRNA) molecules are approximately 80 nucleotides in length. Their secondary structure includes four short double-helical elements and three loops (D, anti-codon, and T loops). The record is from RNAcentral. Lineage: Bacteria; Bacillati; Bacillota; Bacilli; Caryophanales; Bacillaceae.
CCGGGGUGGAGCAGUUCGGUAGCUCGUCGGGCUCAUAACCCGAAGGUCGCAGGUUCAAAUCCUGCCCCCGCAACCA